Molecule: ribosomal RNA, 238 nt
Filed under: uncultured bacterium
Lineage: Bacteria
Description: partial 16S ribosomal RNA
Rfam family: Bacterial small subunit ribosomal RNA
Source: RNAcentral
CGGCGGACGGGUGAGUAACGCGUGGGUAACCUGCCUCAUACAGGGGGAUAACAGUUAGAAAUGACUGCUAAUACCGCAUAAGACCACGGUACCGCAUGGUACAGUGGUAAAAACUCCGGUGGUAUGAGAUGGACCCGCGUCUGAUUAGGUAGUUGGUGGGGUAACGGCCUACCAAGCCGACGAUCAGUAGCCGACCUGAGAGGGUGACCGGCCACAUUGGGACUGAGACACGGUCCAG